AAUGCCUGCCGUGGGUGGGAGUGGGUAAGAUUAUUUAUUUUAUAAAAAGGUAGAGCUAAGUAUGGAGAAAAUGAUCACAGGAGAAAACAUGGACCCUUUGGAGAAAAUAUGGGGGGGGGAAUAAGGAAAGACAGUGUGAAAGGCAUAUGUAUGGCAAGCACUUGGGGGCAUCAGUGAGGACUGACAACAAGGGUCAUAAUGAGCAGCAAUAAGCUCAGCAGGAUUGGUGGCCCUGGACUAUUAGCACAUUUACAGUUUUCAUCAUUGUUUGCAGCAGGUUAGAGCUGCAAUUCUUUUUUGUUUGUUUGCUCUCAGAUGCACAGCACUGACACAUCAGGCGCAUAGCAGCUGGUGUCAUGACUGUCAGCACAGAGGUAGACCUUCCUGUGUGAUACCACUUGACAUGUGAGACAAGAGGCUCAGAGAAGAAGGAUGGAUAUUUUAAAGUUGGCAUCACAGAAGACUCAGUACUGGAUCUCAGCUGUCACAAAGAUGGUGUGGGUAUGGAGCAAAGUGGGACGCCAGGAGGAGCCAUGCUGUGGAUGGAGGAAGGAUGCAAGUGAAGCACAGCUUCAUAAUCACACAAGGCAUUCCAUCUAACAACAUCAUAUGCUGGUUCUCACUAACCAGUUCUACUUCACAGAAAAAGAAGGUAAUGCUGAAGAUCACACAGCCAAGGGCAGAAGAAUCAGAGGUCUCCCCAAACAGGAUGAUUGCCACUGGCCACUAAAGUGCACACUCAUCAAGAAGAUAAAAAAUGGCUGAGGAGAGGCUAGAGAGAUGGCUCAGUGGUUAAUAGCACUGGCUGUUCUUCCAGGGGACCUGAGUUCAAUUCCCAGUACCCACAUGGCAGCUCACAACUGUCUGUAACUCCAGUUCUAAGGGAUCUGGCACCAUUAACACAGACAUAUAUGUGGGUGAAACACCAUUGUGCAUAAAAUAAAAAUAAAUUAUUUUAAAAGAAAAAAUAAAUUAUUUUUUAAAAUGGACUCCAUUGGUGCUUGCUGCACAGCAU
Molecule: long non-coding RNA, 1015 nt
Filed under: Cricetulus griseus (Chinese hamster)
Lineage: Eukaryota; Metazoa; Chordata; Mammalia; Rodentia; Cricetidae
Description: lncRNA (ENSCGRG00015030685.1)
Source: RNAcentral